Non-coding RNA from Pelobates cultripes (western spadefoot toad), 301 nucleotides. The record is from the annotation of a GenBank genome assembly. NCBI's taxonomy places the organism in Eukaryota, Metazoa, Chordata, Amphibia, Anura, Pelobatidae.
GCCAUUAAUAAGAACCAAACACAGAUCCAUAGUGCUACAUCCAGCCAUUAAUCAGAACCAAACACAGAUCCAUAGUGCUACAUCCAGCCAUUAAUCAGAACCAAACACAGAUCCAUAGCGCUACAUCCACCCAUUAAUCAGAACCAAACACAGAUCCAUAGCGCUACAUCCAACCGUUAAUCAGAACCAAACACAGAUCCAUAGUGCUACAUCCAGCCAUUAAUCAGAACCAAACACAGAUCCAUAGUGCUACAUCCAGCCAUUAAUCAGAACCAAACACAGAUCCAUAGUGCUAUAUCCA